AAUACAGACGCUGCAGUAUGUUCUGGAGUCCUGCGACCUGGAACUCUCACAGUAGGUACGCAGGCAGGCAGGACCCGGUUACAAAGGUAAAGACAGCCGGGCACCUUCCUUCCACUGGGCUUAGGAUACGGCUGCUGGAGAAGUCAGGAGGAAACAUCUUGUUGAAGAAGCAGUCUGGCAGUCUGACCAUCUCUGAUUACCCACAGACCACUUCCGAAAGACUGAAAACUUUCCUCUGUAAGAGAACUGGAAGCCACCAUCUGGCCGCUCCUUCGGUCCUUUCUAUCCUAGAGAAGAGAUUUGACUACUCUGAGGCAGUAAUCACAUCCCAAAUAUCCACCUCUGAGCUGGGAGAGGAAUCAAAUAGAGCUCCAAGAACGCAGAAAAUUGCUGGUCUGGGUUUUCUGUGUAGCAAAAUAGCCUCUACAGUAAGAUUGCUGGAGCCAGGACCAGAGCGUUCUCUUCAAGUCCAGAUAGCCGCUUCCCACCACCAACCUGGGAAAGAAAAGAUUGCCGCCUCCUCCCCAGCACCUGUCUUUCAGAUUGUCUUCCUCCAUCCUUUGAUUCUGAGCCCCUAGCUGCUCACCCUCCCCCAGCUGCUCUGGAGCCAGAGACCCAAAUCAGAAAGUGCCAGACAGUGAAUUCAGUUCUGUGGCCAAGAAGCUAUUUGUUCUUGGGUAGAUUCUUCGGUCGCGGUUCUUGAAGAUGGAAACAGGAGCGAGGACUUUAAGUGAGAAUCUCAGACUGACUUGGGAGCUGACAGACAGUGGAGAUCGCUUAAGCACCUGAACUGUGACGCUGACACAGGAAAUGAAGAAAAGGCAUCUAGACAAGAAUCACCAAAGACACAGUGCUGGUUUCAGUGUUAUACACAGUAAGGUGUUAAACCCACUUGUGGAUGAGGAAAUUAAGUCACCCAGGCCCUUGAGAAAUCUCAGUAUCCCUCACGUUCAUUGAAAGCCUCAAUCCUUUCUUUCAACCUCCCUCUUGUUUCCACUCAAUUUAAGAACUAAGAACCAUACAAUAGGAAAGAGACUCUUUUAAAAUGGGAUACAGCAUCUACUCUUAAGUUCUAUUUUCUAGAACUCUAACCAGUCAAUGGGGGGGAAAGGGAAGGGGUUCACUCUGGGUUUUGAACUUGCCACAUUGAUAAUACCCACACACUGUGGCAAACCUAAAAAGAAGCCCUGGGGGGGGGGGGGGUCUAGAACAGAUAAAUAGACAUGUAGGGAUAUUCCCAGAAAAACUGCAGGGGCAUCACCAUCUGGUAGCUUUCCAAAGUGGCUCUUUCAUCAGUAAGGCCUUCUGACCUGCAAUGAGAGACAAAAUGUUGAACUAUAUCUCAGGACUAUAGAGCUGCAGGCUACAGGAAUAUAGUUCAUCAUGCUGGUCGGGGACUAUAGAUUGUCAGGCUAUAGGAAUGUAGUUCAUCAUGCUGGUCGGGGGCUAUAGAGAUGCAGGCUAUAGGAAUGUAGUUCAUCAUGCUGGUUGGGGGCUAUAGAGCUGCAGGCUAUAGGAAUAUAGGUUAUCGUGCUGGUUGCUUUCCUUAGAAGUCCACAUUCCAUAACUUCUGCUCCCACUAUCUGAAUGUACCCUCCAUUCCUAUGCUGAAAUCUCAACCUGCACUCAAUGGAUAGCAUUAGGAGAUGAGAUCUUGGAGAGGCAAAUAGUCAUGAGGGCAACAUUAUCUUGAAUGAGACCACUUACCAAGGAGACACAGGCAUGUCCUUCUACCUCAUUAAGAGAAGCUAAAAGGCACCAGCUACAGACAAGAUGUCUGUCCUCACCAGUUGCCAAAGCUGAUGUCACCUAGACCUUGGGCCUACUAGACUUCAGAAUGAUGAAGAAUAUAUUUCCAAGUGCUUUAAAUCACCUAACUUGUGGUGGUUUUGUUGCUGCAUUCUUUAUUAUUAUUAUUAUUAUUAUUAUUAUUAUUAUUAUUAUUAUUAUUAUUAGGUAUUUUCCUCGUUUACAUUUUCAAUGCUAUCCCAAAGGUCCCCCAUACCCACCCCCCCCUUGUUGCUGCAUUCUUAAUAGACUUAGACAGUCCCUCGGUGUCUUAGGUCCUGUCCUUCACAGUAAUCAUUUCAGGCCAUUUACUGGUGAGUAUAAAUGAGGUGUUGCUUUGUAAUAGUCACAACAAGCCACUGGCAAACAGUAUUUCUGAGGUGUUCUUGAGAAAUACCUUGGCCGCAAAGGAUGUGGGAAGCAAUUGAAAGUUUCCUCCUAAAUCAUUUUUUUCCAACCCCACUACAUAUGCUCCCAAAGACCUAGAAGAGGUUAUCACUUAGGGAAGUGCACUUUCUACCCUGAGCACCCGUAGCACACGUUGUCCAAUAGGAGGCUGGGCUCUGGGACCCAACAAACUGUGUUCUACAUGUGCUGCCCAUGUUGUUCCUCAGUGUGGCCAAGCUCGAGGGUGAGGCUCAUAUACCAGGGAAUUACAAGAAGCCCAAGUAAGAAAACAGAAUAAAACAGCAAUGUCUCUGGGCACCAAAGAGGGCUUCUGCUGCUUGCUGAGUGGCACAGAUGAGCCAAUGGACUAUCGGGGACUAAGGAGAAGAUGACAAAGUCUCUUGAGAGUAGGUCAGUAGCCACGGAUGGGAAGGAACCAGCCCAUAGUACAGCAAGCAGCGACCUGCCAACUCC
Molecule: long non-coding RNA, 2649 nt
Filed under: Mus musculus (house mouse)
Lineage: Eukaryota; Metazoa; Chordata; Mammalia; Rodentia; Muridae
Description: cDNA sequence BC106179
Source: RNAcentral